Molecule: long non-coding RNA, 167 nt
Organism: Sapajus apella (tufted capuchin)
Lineage: Eukaryota; Metazoa; Chordata; Mammalia; Primates; Cebidae
Exons: 3
Source: RefSeq, a predicted model, not a curated record
AUGUAGUAGUUUGUUUUCAUACUGCUAUAAAGAAAUACCCAAGACUGCGUAAUUUAUAAAGAAAAAGAGAUUUAGUGGACUCACUGUUCCACAUAGCUAGAGACGCCUCACAACCCUGGCAGAAGGUAAAGGAGGAGCAAAGGCACGUCUUACAUGAUGGCAGGCAA